This 23-nucleotide non-coding RNA is filed under the name Rattus norvegicus (Norway rat). The record is from RNAcentral. Lineage: Eukaryota; Metazoa; Chordata; Mammalia; Rodentia; Muridae.
CUUUGGCACAAUGGUGGAGCACA